Eucalyptus grandis is the source of this 1182-nucleotide RNA transcript. RefSeq lists it as uncharacterized. Lineage: Eukaryota; Viridiplantae; Streptophyta; Magnoliopsida; Myrtales; Myrtaceae. The record is from RefSeq and is a predicted model, not a curated record. The transcript is spliced from 3 exons.
AAAGAAAAAAGUCGGUGAGAGAUUAUCCACUUUACAGAGCACGCGAGUGGAUGGUUGCUUCUCUUUCCAUCAUCCCCCGACUGAUUCAGCGAUGAUGUCACUGUCCGCGCCAUCUCUCCACCGCUCCGCCGGCCAUGGCUCUCCGAACUUGCUUGGCCCUCUCCGACCACCGCCCUCUCACGAAAUUCCUCAUUCUCGAUCGCCGCCCCUCGCAUACCGACUCAGAGUCGCGGCCCUCGAGCCCGAGUUUCGGGCUUUCCCCACGAGGGCGACCGGUUCGUGAUGCCAGCAGUUCGUCCGAGCAAGAGGGAGGCGAGCCUGGCGAUUUUCGCAGUCCUGCUAAAUGGGUGUGGCCCGAGCGCGUCGAUGGCGACGUUGCGACAAGAAGUGGAGCUGGAGAGGCGCACAGACUCCGAGGACGGCUUCACCCUCCUCUAACCCUCUUCUUGGACGAAGGUGGACAAAGCAGGGGUGACGGUGCUGUUUGAGGAACCAGCCAAGGAGAGCAAGUCCUCAGUUUGUCGCGGAUUCACAGCCAUCGGAUCCAUCAGCUGAAGGUCCAAAAUCUUCUUCUUCUUGCACAGCAGAAAAUCCGGGAGGUAUGGGGGCGAAAGCAGCGAGAGCAGAGAGGUCUGGGGGACAAUCAAUCAAGAUCCUUAACCCACAGGCACUCAGCAUGUGACAUUGGGGAAGGUGAAAGCUUUUACCUCUGCUUAAGCAUGUCUGCAUAAUGGGGUAUGUUCCAAAUUCAAAUUGAACUGAAUGUGAGCACCGGAUACGUUAAUUGACAGAAGGACGUGCAUUAAGAACACCUGUUAAAGAGAGACUUACCAACUUCAUGAAGCCAAAUCAAGGUGGAGACUUUUACGAGAUAAAUUACAGAAAAAGUGACAAUCAGAACGAGGAGAUUUCACACGCACUUGGCUCUCUUGCCCUCGGGCGGAGAUGAAACGAAGGAGAGAAGGAGUUUUGGGUUUUCACUCCUCAGAGGAGAAGGAAACAGAGCAAAGGCCGAGAAGCUCUCAACAACACAACGAGAAUUUUUUUAUUUAUUAUUUAAAUUGUAUUGAGAAAUGGAAAAUCCAAAUCAGGACAAGAACUUCGGUACCCUCAUUCGCCGUUGGUUGUUGGCUUUAGCGGUGAUAGGGGAUUAAUAAGAAGCAAAUAAUUUAUUCUUUGAAA